RNAcentral lists this transfer RNA (79 nucleotides) under Erinaceus europaeus (western European hedgehog). It matches the Rfam family "tRNA". From Rfam's summary of the family: Transfer RNA (tRNA) molecules are approximately 80 nucleotides in length. Their secondary structure includes four short double-helical elements and three loops (D, anti-codon, and T loops). The record is from Rfam by way of RNAcentral. Lineage: Eukaryota; Metazoa; Chordata; Mammalia; Eulipotyphla; Erinaceidae.
GAGGAAGUAGCAUAAUGGUAUGCAACAGACUUACAUGCCUGAGGUUCUGAAGUCCAAGGUUCAAGCCUUUGCAUUUCCA